GGAGAAGGGCGAGGUUGAUGCACAACUAGACUCUGUGACUUACUCUACCACACUGGGGUCUCUCUUCAUCUGGGGAGGGGAGUGGGGGUCAGUGAGAGCGUAAGUGAGCUGGACAGCCAAGCUGCUUCUGAUGUGGGUGUAUUCUUGUCAUCUCUUUGCUCGGGGCCUACCUAUCUGCAAGAACCAUUUCCCUGGCCACAAGGCAUGGUAUUCAUGUCCAUAUGUCCUCAGACAGGCAAGAUGUGAAGAGCAAGACGUCGAAGUGGAGAAAAACAAGGCUUUAAUUUUUAUCCUCGUUUCGUCACGAUGAGAGAAGUCUCUCCGAUCCUUUCAAGUCGCAGCCAGCAGCAAUUACUUGUCCUGCUUCUUGUGGGAAGCUGUGGGCUACAGAGACAGGAAAGUCGGGGGCUCCAAUCAAAGCCAAAGCACCAGAAUGAAAGCGUUCAUCAAAAGACUGAACGUGGCUUUGAAAGAUAAAAGAGACCGAGUCCAACAGACCGCAGCCUGAAAUGAAAGACGGGAGGAGAAUGAACAGAGAGGAGCUCCUAUUGCUGAGUCCUGCAGAGAGCGUGAGGCUGCCUGUGUGCUCCCCCUCAGCCUGGGGAGCUGUCCAGCUUCAGUGGGAAACACAGGCGCUGCUCCCUGGGCAGUGUUUCCAUGUUGGAUUCACCAGCACUGUUUGCUGACUGCUACUGCAGGAAAAUGACCAUCUACAGACAAGCAAAAUUCCAGAACUUGAGAGGCAGAGGCAGGAGAAUGCCUGAAUUCAAGGCCACCCUAAUCUAUAUAACAAGUUCCAAGCCAGCCAGGGCUUCACAGUGAUGCCUUUUCUCCAUAGACAGAUGGACGGACAGACAGAUGGAUGGGCAGACAGUUGAAGAGCUUUGAAAUAUAAAUCAAGACUGAGAUGUCUGCAAAACCGCACAAGACUAAUGCUGCCUCUAGGAACCCAACAGGACAAUCCCCACUCACCCCAUUGAAUGCAAAAAUAAAGACCCUUGAGACUGUGGGCCCCCCCAGGGUACAGGAAAGAAGGGGGCGGGUCUCCACUCCUGCCUUAAGCUUUUCUUUGCCUGUUAAGUUUCUCUUUAUCAGUUAUUACUAGAUCAAAAAUGGGGUUAGGGGUUCACCCUGAGUAGGAGCAGACCCCAACCAACUAGCAGCUGUUUCCAAACUCAAAGACAGGAGCAGCAACUCAAUUCUUAUACCACAAGGCACGUGAACAUGUCAGAUCCAAUAGGAAAGCAAGGGGAAUCCCCAAGAGGGGGAGACCUGGACCCAAAUACUCCUCCCUCCUUAGAUGCAGAGACUUUCCAGCUCUGGGCUGAUCUCUGCCUGAGAAGUCUAUAUCACUUCCAAUAGACUUGCUCUCAGUGCCAAGACCUUUACUAUCAUUCUUCAACUGAAGGAGCGGGCUGGAAUCACUCUGUCAUAAUAAAUAAAUGAGACAAAGAGGACUCUGACCAACCAAGGGCGUGAAAGCCUGUGCUACUUUUUCUCAACGUGACUUUUCUUACCUAGAACCUUACACUAACUAGGCAAUAAGAAACACAGCCGUGUGGAACUCUCAACAUGCAGAGACGACAGACCCAGCUAAAGCCUGUUCUUUGCUGUCCGAAGCCAUGGUGAGGAGUCAGCCACAAGGAAGAAGUUUGAGGCCUCGUUCUAUCUUGUACCUGCCUUCACCUGCAUAAUGACAUCAUUCCACAGCAAGCCAGGGGGAGCAAUCCAGGAAGCAGCGUCCCUCCAUGGCCUCUGCAUCAGCUCCUGCCUCCAAGUUCCUGUCCUGCAUGAGUUCCUGUCCUGACUUCCUUUGGUGAUGAACAGCAAUGUGGAAGUGUAAGCCGAAUAAACCCUUUCCUCCCCAA
Non-coding RNA from Rattus norvegicus (Norway rat), 1868 nucleotides. The record is from RefSeq and is a predicted model, not a curated record. NCBI's taxonomy places the organism in Eukaryota, Metazoa, Chordata, Mammalia, Rodentia, Muridae.